GGCUCAGUGGUCUAGUGGUUCUCGCUUUGGGUGCGAGAGGCCACGGGUUCGAUUCCCGUCUGAGCCC
This 67-nucleotide transfer RNA is filed under the name Nematostella vectensis (starlet sea anemone). It matches the Rfam family "tRNA". From Rfam's summary of the family: Transfer RNA (tRNA) molecules are approximately 80 nucleotides in length. Their secondary structure includes four short double-helical elements and three loops (D, anti-codon, and T loops). Lineage: Eukaryota; Metazoa; Cnidaria; Anthozoa; Actiniaria; Edwardsiidae. The record is from Rfam by way of RNAcentral.